Molecule: long non-coding RNA, 1038 nt
Organism: Gasterosteus aculeatus aculeatus (three-spined stickleback)
Lineage: Eukaryota; Metazoa; Chordata; Actinopteri; Perciformes; Gasterosteidae
Source: Ensembl
CUGACCUCGUCUCAGUCCCACUGUAAGUCAAUGGACUGACCUCGUCUCAUCCCACUGUAAGUCAAUGGGCCGCUCACCAUCACGUAUUUGUCCGGGUUCCUGGAGGAGGUUUUAGUGUCAGUUUCUCAAAGAUGGGGAAGCCACUCAAAGCUGAGCUCCUCAUCGGAAGCAGCUUCGCGCCUUCAAACGUUCUGAGGACGAAGUUACCCCCCCCCCCCCCCCCCCCAUGUGGGUCGGCGGGUCCGGCCUCAAAGGCCGACUGCAACGCGCGAUAUAAAUAUUCAGAGAAACCAGGGCUUUUGUCCAUGAUGAGCUCACGCCUCCAGCAGGGACCCCAUUCACAGCUUUAACUCAGAAUGCAGGGGGGGGUAAGACAAGAGGGGGGGUCACUAAAACAACACACCCACUGAAGGACAGAGCGUCGCUCUCCACAACAACUUUGACUGGAAAUGCAACUUGUCUCCCGUUUCUUUUUUGUGUGUAUGUGUGCGUAGCGUAAUGUAAAAGAGAUCUGUCCCCCCUCCACGCCCCGUCCCACCCUUCCUCCCUGUCCUCCCCCUCCUCCCCCUCCUCUCUCGUACUGCUGUUGGCUGUUCUGUUUAGUUCAUGUGACGUGCCAGUAUCCCUCCCCUUUUACCCCCCCCCCUUCAUGGAUCUUUAAGAUGACAACUCUAUGCAGAUGCUGUCUUUUAUAAGUGUGUCAAAAUUUUAAUUUAAAAUAAAAUCUUCAACAAAAAAAACCCUGACAGACAUAUUGAAAUGAAAACAAAAAAUGAAUAAAGAAACGGAUUGUUCAGUGUACUUGGUCUCAUGUCUCCUUUGCUCACACUUUGCUCCUCCAGAGGUUUCAGUCUGUGCAGCAGCUGGAAGGAUUUUAUUGGUAAAUAUCAGUUCAAACCUCGGGAUGAAAAUGAUUCUGUUAUUGAAGUUUUAUUUUUGCAUACAUUUUAGCAUCUUCUUAUUCAUUAAAGCUUUGAAGAAUGACUAAUUGUUUUAUAUGGAUCAUUUUUCCUUAACUUUUCUUUUCUUUAUGUCCUG